GACGAACGCUGGCGGCGUGCUUAACACAUGCAAGUCGAACGGAAAGGCCCUGCUUUUGUGGGGUGCUCGAGUGGCGAACGGGUGAGUAACACGUGAGUAACCUGCCCUUGACUUUGGGAUAACUUCAGGAAACUGGGGCUAAUACCGGCUAGGAGCUCCUGCUGCAUGGUGGGGGUUGGAAAGUUUCGGCGGUUGGGGAUGGACUCGCGGCUUAUCAGCUUGUUGGUGGGGUAGUGGCUUACCAAGGCUUUGACGGGUAGCCGGCCUGCGAGGGUGACCGGCCACAUUGGGACUGGGAUACGGCCCAGACUCCUACGGGAGGCAGCAGUGGGGAAUAUUGCACAAUGGGCGGAAGCCUGAUGCAGCAACGCCGCGUGCGGGAUGACGGCCUUCGGGUUGUAAACCGCUUUCGCCUGUGACGAAGCGUGAGUGACGGUAAUGGGUAAAGAAGCACCGGCUAACUACGUG
This 468-nucleotide ribosomal RNA is filed under the name uncultured bacterium. RNAcentral's name for it is "partial 16S ribosomal RNA". It matches the Rfam family "Bacterial small subunit ribosomal RNA", at positions 28 to 507 of the family's 1533-position model. The record is from RNAcentral.